Molecule: ribosomal RNA, 277 nt
Filed under: Desulfovibrio sp.
Lineage: Bacteria; Pseudomonadati; Thermodesulfobacteriota; Desulfovibrionia; Desulfovibrionales; Desulfovibrionaceae
Description: partial 16S ribosomal RNA
Rfam family: Bacterial small subunit ribosomal RNA
Source: RNAcentral
UGCGCGAGGGAUGAAGGCCUUCGGGUCGUAAACCUCUGUCAGAGGGAAGAACCGCCAUGGUGUUAAUCAGCCAUGGUCUGACGGUACCUCCAAAGGMAGCCCGGCUAACUCCGUGCCAGCAGCCGCGGUAAUACGGAGGGUGCAAGCGUUAAUCGGAAUACUGGGCGUAAAGCGCACGUAGGCUGUUUGGUAAGUCAGGGGUGAAAUCCCGCGGCUCACCGCGGAAUUGCCCUUGAUACUGCUGGACUUGAGUUCGGGAGAGGGUGGCGGAAUUCCA